GCUGACUCCUCUGCCAGCUGUGCAAGGGAAGGGUGGAGGACCAAUACUGCAGUCUCAGAAGAACUAAUAGGAAUAGAGAAGCAUUUAAGUAAAACCACUCACUAACACUACAGAUCUCCUUACCAGGUCAGCCUGCCAAUGCAUCAGCACAGCUGGAAGGCAACGCCUGGCAACCACUCCAGCCCCAUUGCCCCACCAAAGGAGCUGCUUAAUUGAGCAGGAAGCCAAAGCUGAUUAAGCAAAUCACACUGGAAGAACGGUGCAGUAUUUGGUGUUCCUGUGGAGUCAUGAGAGCACACUUGGCAUGGGGUGAAAGGAGCUGCUGCCCAAACCUAGUGUCCAAAGCUCAUACUCCAGAUGAGAGGGAGGUGGAUCAGCCCUCCUUCUGGCUGGGCAGUUCUGCUCUAUUUGACACAGCUCACCUGCCUGUCUAAUGGCUUCACAUCGUCCGUCUGUCCUGCGGAGCAACCCCCCACGACAGCUCUGCCUGUCCCACCUGCAUGCCCACCCUGGUGUUUCCUCAGCAACUCACCUUUGGAGACACAUUUCCUUCCCAUCUAGUGCAAGGGAUGAGCUAAGCUGUGAAUGCCAGCCUUGCACAGCACUGCCCACAGCUGGGCUAUGAGGAGGCGGCAGCCUCAGCCCUCUGUGAGAGUUUGGUGUCUGGUGUUAACUGGAGGCAGGAGAGUUGUCAACAGGAGAGCACACCUGCAGUUUUGAAGCUGCCUUAAAAUCAGUGACAAAACAGCUACAAAACCCAGAAUCAAACUCAGGCAAGCUGAUGAAGCCUGCAGAAGAGCCAUCCCAGCAGGACAGGGCAGCUGUUGUCACCUGUGGAGCCAGGCAGACACAGUUGCUGUGUCCCUAAAAGGACCAUGAGACCCACUUACCUGACAGCCUGUUAGUGCUGAAGCUGCUGCCAGCCAGUCUGUUCUGUUUCCUGAAGAAGAGCUGAGGUGAUAAACAUCCAACAGGUGCUUUUUCAUCACAAAAGAGGAAAAAAAUAAUCAGCAAGUGAUACACUCUUCUAGUAAAGCUUCUUUCCCAUCAGACUGUCAUGGGUAACUGCCAAAAAAUGUUCAGACUGGAAGAUGAGACAAGGAAAAGCUUAGAGAGGUUCAUUACACCUGAAAACAAGAUACCUGUUCAGAGCAGUGGUUAGGAAAGGAGUAGCAUCAACAUUGUCUGCAAGUUUCCAGCAAAUUAAUGCUUCUUACCCAGUGCCACCAGCAAAGGGAUGGUUAAGGAAGGGGAAACUUUACCAUAAAACGUGCAAUUCUUGGUGGGAUAUGAUGAAAAGAAAGAGACAGGAUCAUCUUACUUCCCAAGGGAGCCUGGGGGUAGUUAUGUGCUGGCAUUCACUAAGAGCCAAUGGAAACUGAAAACAAGGAGGAUCACUCAGCUUGCAAGUGGGAUUUCUGCAGCAGAAGAUGACUGGCUGCAUCAGGACAGCCCCUAGGAAAGGUGGGAUAGAUGGCAGUCAUAAUUUUUGUGCAGGUGAAGUAAAGCAGUUUUAGGGGAAAUAAAUGGGUUUAGUAAGGUCUAGGAUUCAAAUGCAGGGGUUUCAUUAAGUAUAAAUUGUCCCUUGUGUUGGUGUAGUAUUGCAUAUGGCAUGGCAACACCUCACAGUCACAUGCUUCCUCUUCAAGAUAUUCCCAAGAGGUAGGAAGGUGCAAUUAGCAGCUUACAGCAUCAAGAAGCAUGUGCAGGAGCAUGGGACAUUUCUGGUUUAGCCAUGGGAUGACCAAGUGUCUCAGCAAGGGGUCACUUUCCCCCUGGACCUGAGCCUCAUAAGACACCACAAAGGACUGGGGAAAAGUUUCUGAGCAAACCAGCAUAGCAAGGGCUGUGCUGGCUCCUCCAGCUGCUAACAUGGAGGAGGCUCAGGGAGGAUGAAGGCUGGGAAAGGGGAAGCCCAUCUUCCUCCUCUGCUCAAUAAUAGUGCAGAGGAGGAAGGAGAACAGUGUUUGUUCUCACCUGUAUUUGGUCAUAAGUGAAAGCUCUAACAGCAAGAUAAUCUGUGGGUUUUCCUGUGGAUAGGUGAAGUGACUCUCAGAUUAGAAAGUGCUGAGCAGUGCUUCUGGCAGUUUAUCUUGCUAAUGCUUCCUUUAAGAUCCUACUCCAGACAAUGCAAGUGAUGACUCCUUUUAUAAAACUUGGCCAUAGAAGUUAGAUUAGCACAGGACAGGUAGUACAAGCUCACCUGUGGAGAUUGCCAUGAGCCGGCAAAGCCACACAUUAUCUUUCAGAAAGGGGCUUGUGAACCAGGUGUACUUUAAAACCUCACAAUCAGUGCUGUAAAUUGUGUGCUCACACCCAGACUCCAGUGGCAGACAUAAGAAAAGUCCCAAAUAAAAGGUCCUCCCUAGGAAGGACAUGACAGAUCAUAGAGAAGUCUCAAGGAAAAAAGGUGUUGGCAGAGGAGCUUCACUGAGUGAGUCUGGAGCUGUCAAAAUCCAGGUUGUCAGGAAAAUUGAAGAAAAACAAUUUCUUAAAGAGUAAUGAGCUAAAAUGAAGGAAAGGUAUUUCCUCAGCUCUGGCAAUGAGGUAUACUGUUUCACACAGUGGAAGAGCCUAGUGAGACAUUUUGACGUACAUACUCAGACAUUGAAGAGCUCCAGCCUCUUUAGGAAAUUAAGUAAUGAGAGUGAAUAAGAAUAAAGGAAAGUGCCUCUUUGGAGCAGAUGAAAAGACUCCAGAUGUGUACAUGGCUGUGACUGCUUCAUAUUGUUUGGGACUUUUAGUCCUGAAAAAAAGAGAGACAAUCCUGACAAAAUAUGUAAGUCUUCACCUGAAUGCUAUAAAGACAGAAUCAAAUUUAAUGUUAAAGCUCAAAUACAGAAAGGAAAUGCAAGAGGAAAUGAAAAGUGAAAAAGAAUCUCCCCUUGAAAAAAGUAAUAAAGAUAUUCCACUUCCUCAUGCUCUCCCUUAUCUCACAUCACUUGGGGAGCAUUGAUUCUGCUCACAUGUGAGCUUCUUCACACACUGUGCCACACACUGCAGGAUGUAAUUUCUUGGUUUGAAAAGAACAAUUGGAACUGAGAGCCCUGUCGUGCUUGUCAGCAUCCCCAGCUCUACAGGUCACACACACACUGUCACUGUCAUUGCCAGCAGGUGCUCCUGACAGCUCUGUUGUGGCCACUCUGGCAUAAACCCAGCACAGGACAGGAGCUACCUUGGGCUGAUUAUUAAAAACUCAGGCCACAUUUAUAUUUAUAAAAACUUCUUACAAUGCUCCUUACAGAGUUUAAGCAAUGAAAUGAAAUCAGGAAUACAAAACUAAAGGUGAUGGACCAAGGAGGUCUAGUCCCCUUCUGUGGCAAACUGCAGCCCAUGGCCAUCCACCUGGGUUCUCAUUAUUUGUUUCUCCCAGCACCAUGUGCAGCACUACCCACACACAUGCUGGGACCACGCUUCUGAGUCCCCUUCAAACAGCCCUGUCAGGCUGGCACAGGCCUGGUCUGGAGGACACAGCUCCAUUUGGGUGUAGCUCAAGGCAUGGAAAGACUAAGCAGGAGAGCCCCUGCCAGCAAGGCUCCUUGAGCCUGAAUCUCAGACAAGAGUAUCCUGCAGUCCUGCCUCAGCUGUACGGAGUCUGUGCUGACAGCACUCUGCACUCUUGCACCACUGCACGUUCUUUGUGGGCACAAGCAGGCUGCUCCCACCUGGAGAGCAGCUCAGCAGGCACUGAUCCCCAGGCCCUGCCCUGCAGCUGGGGCAAGCACAGCUCUGCAGAUAACUGCUAACAUCAGAUUACAUCCUUUGAGACACCAGGGCUCUGCUCCAUCACAUGAUGUUGGGGUGACUGCAGAGGAGAGCGCCACUGCCUUCAUUCUGCACCUCCACCUGAAGAACAACAUUUCUCUCCUGCACAGAUCGUGACAGAAGGAUUAUUAGAAGGAUGCCAUGCACUCAGAUAGGCCAUUAGCAAGGAACAAUCCCUAGGUAAAUAAUUAGUAAAUUACCUGUUUGAAAACAAAUGGAGAAAACUUAAUUCUUGAUUGUUAACAGUCGGGCAUCUUUCACAUUAAAAUUACAGCCAAUAAGCAAUUUCACAUUGUGGGCCUUGCACAGUAAUAUUUUCCUUUGCCAAGCCAUUUUCCCAGAGUAAACAAAACCUCUGAGAAUGCUUAUCUUAGUAUAAAACCUUGCCAGAAAAAUAAACAUAAUUAUGUCCAAAAUGAAAAAGAGAAUGGCCUGUGUUGGUUUUACAGCAUUGGGAAAGCCAUAAAACUUAACACUCCAAGUACAAGAGGUUGAAGAUGUUUACUGUUCUUAGUGUAUCCCUUCUAUUGAACACCAUCUUCCACUGCAAAUCAAGUCCCAAACAGCUGGAGGAAAAACAAGAGGCAGAAGGAAAACAAGGCUGAAUUGUGAAGUAUAUUGAUGAUUUUUCUCAUGGCAUUAGAGAUGGCCAAAGUAAAAAGAGGAGUUUCUUUUACAGUUCUGAUGUAUUUUAAGAAUUUUGUACCACAGGCUACAUUUCAAUUACAGGACCAGAGUGUAACAACAGAUGGGACACGAUGCUUAAAACCCAGCAGUUUUCCAGACAGAAGUCUCACACCAGGAUGGCCACCCAUAUAGGACAGGGCAAGUAAUGUGGGCUGGGGGCCUGAAAAGGCAGCAAGAGAAUUAAAAGUAACUGUCUGUCCCAGCUGCAUGGACUGCAAACUGGAGCUGUGGACAAGAGAGAUCUGCGAGCAAGAGCUGGAUCCACUGGGAUUAGUUGGGAUCUAAGCAAAAUCUGCAGUGUGUCCACCAGAGACAGUCACUGAGCAACACAAAGACAGAACAAAGACAAGGAGGCAGAUGUGGAGCAGAGAGCACACAAGGUGAUGGUGAAGCCAGCUGUGCUGCCAGGUGUCACAGGAUGCUGAGGUGCAUGGGACAACAGGCAGCCUCUGAGAUGGACUUCCAAAGUGCAUGCAGACACCAGAAUGGAAAGAUAGCUGAAAGAGAGGCUUUUUGUGUCACUCACUGAUUCUGAGCAGAUUGAGUUAUGUUGAGUCACUGUCUCUUUUCUGCUUAUAUACUCCAUCAUUUUCAUUUUUAGAUUCUAUUUAGAGUCACUAGAAUAUCUGUGCAUUGUUUGUCUCAUACUCAGCUUAGACCAGCCUGAUGGGGAUUUUGGCAUUGGUUAAGAGCAUAAAAUCCAGCAAGAAGCAGGAAGAGACAGAAAGUUUGUGGAUAAAUAUCUUACUGGGGUGAAAUAAAGGAAAAGAGUGCCUGCAAGUAUUCAAUUAAUUGGGAUUUAAAAUGCCACCCAGCAGCCCUAUUCUCUGUCACCUGGCAAAGGCAGAUGGCAUCAGUGCUGCCUGUGGGCAAAGUGUGCCCAGAGCAGGGACAUGCUCAAAGAUACACAGCACGACCUCGGUGAAACACUUUGCUCCCCAUAGCACAGGGCUGUGUGAAAGUAGCCAACAUCAGAGCAAACCAGGAUGAGCAGGACUCGUAGCCUUUAAAACAUUUUUAAUGGGAAACAGUGUCUGAUAAAGACAUCAUCUUUUUGGCAUGUCAUCACAGAAAAUUUGCUACAGGCAGCCAGCUUCCCAGGGCAAGCAAAAUAUCACAGAAGCUUUACUGAAUUUUUCUAAGAUUGUUUGUCAACAUCCUCAUCCCUAUCACCUUUGAAAGGGCCAGCUGAGACCUUGUCUGAUUCUAACUUCAUAAUUAGGGAUAUUAGGAAUAGCUCUGCCAAGCAAGGUCUCAUACCUGGGCAGAGAUGGUAGAGAUAAAAGAGACGAGUGAAGAGGAUAAGGUUUGACAGGGAACAAUUCUGAGUUCUAGGAAUCUAAUUUUGCUUACCAGAAUCUCUUCAGCAACAAUUUUAGUUGCAGUCUGAGGGGAAAGGAGAUGGAGAGGACAAGACAGAAACAUUGUAUAGAAUGAGCAAAACAGUAGCAAAAAAAAAAAAAGUAGGAGAAAAAAACAACCUAAAAGCUAUAUUAAACAGUAGGACCCAAGGGAGAACGGAAAAAAAAAUGAGAUUAUUAACAGAGGAAACUGGCUGGCUCCACUGAGCAAACGCUGGUAAACAGAAAAAUUAAAUUCUGCAAGAUUAAACAAGGCAUUAAACUGGUUGGGAAAAAAAAAAAAAAAAGAAAGAAAAAACAAACCCAAACCCAACAAAAACCUAAUAAUCACAUGCUCUCAGAAAUAAGUCAAGUGGUUUUACUGACUUAAACACUCAACUGGACUAAAAAAGCUCUUUUACUAAAGCAAGCAUAGCAAAUGUAUGCAAAUUGCUGAGAGCACACAUUAUAGAAGAAUGCACAUUGAAGGAGGUAUCCUCUGCUAAUACUUGCCUCUUGAUUCAGGCAGAAAGUUUAAAUAUCUGCAGCCACAGGCAACAGGAACAUGCAGCGAAGAGCCCCAUGUGUCUUGGAUUUCACCCAUCCAUAUCCUUCUGGGCACUUAAAGAAUCACUCCUUAAACUUCUCUAGCCAUCUUCCUAACGGGGUGAUGGCAAAGAACAUUUUCCCCUAGCAAAUGGAAAAUAAAAUCCAACAAAGGUUAUAUUUAAGUCCUGCCCAAAACAGGUUGAAAGAACUUUUAAUGCCCCUGGAACCCAGGCAGCUCUCCUACCCCUGAAAGGGAUUGGCACCACCAUGGGGAGAUACAGGGAAGCUGUAACCAUGUACCACAUGUCCCAUGUGGAAAUGGCAACAGCAGUCACUUAGGGAAAUUCUGUGAACAACUCCAGGGCCUGGUUCUGCACAAAUUCCACUGGCACAAAUGUGGGCCAGCUUUGCCAAUAUGGCAGUAUUAUAACUGAGACUCACAGCUUGAAAUCAAACCUUGGCAGAGUACUGGCCCAGGUCUGACAUAAAUCAGCCUCUCCGUUUUUGCUGAUGCUUUGGCACAAGGUGGCUGAGGAAGAGUUGUUGCUACCCCUUCAGCUGGGGUUUGGACCCAAAGCAUUCCUUCCUGAGUGCUGCCACUCUCAGCACGUGCAAAGUCCUGGUGCAAGAAAGCUGCAGCUUGAGAAGAAAGGUUUCAAGACAAUUAAAACCCUAGGAAAAAAACAGGGUUUUGUCAUCUAUGAAGUUCUUUUUAGCAUGAGCUGUAUGCUGUUAUGUUGUAGAUGCUCUGACACAGGACUAGACAGAGAGGAGGGUCCCUAUAAGAUGCCAGCUGUGCUCCUGACACAAACCUUUGCCAUCCCUGGGUCACAGCACAGGCUCAUGGCACUGGUCUGCAGCUGGGAAGACCCUUCCAUUCCCUGCCACCAGAGCACUUUCUCUUCUGCUGCAAGGGGCCAUCACUACAUCCUGCACAGCUGCAAUGGGGAAGCUGGAAGUGUUUGAAGGCCAUGACACCCUCCCAGGAAACUGAACACACAGGAGCUGAGAAAAGCACUGCUCCAUGUGCCAGCAUUCAGGGCUGCAUCAGCUGCAGAGCCAGCGCCAGCUGCCUGGCAGGCACCACAGUAGGGCCCCACAAACCAGAUUUGCAGGAGUGCCCUGGGGCUGGGUGAUUACAGGGGGUUUUUCCACCAGAGUUGCACAGUGUGAAAACAAACACUUUGAACAGGCAGGAACCUGAAACUGGUGCGCAAGCUGAGCAGAAACAGAGCCAGUCUGAGUUUACAUUGCAGGACUCCAUGCCAUGGAGGAAAUGUUUGUCAUCACAAAUGAGAUGUGGGCGGUGAACAAGACCUGAGUCUCUUGGUCCUAAUGACAUCUGUCAAGGGAGGUAUUGGAUGUAGACACAGAACUUCUGUGCCACUGUUCCCCCAAAGAAAUACAAGAAUUCACCUGAAUAUCAAAGAUACUUUGCCUUCAGGGACAUUUCUAGCACAACACUUUAAUUUUUUCCCUAGAUGCAGUGGUACCAAGACUCUUCACGACAUCUUCCACAACUUAUAAAUUAGCAAUUACAAUAAAACAAGGCAGCCAUUUCUGGGCUGAACCUCAUGCCAGCAAAUAUGAUAUUCACCUCUUAGCCCCUUAAAACAAGUAUCCUGUAUCUCUAGUUCUGCACCUGACAGCUGCAGAAUACCAGCCCUGUGCUUGGGGUACAGGAUGCAGGGGACACUGUGGAAGAUGGCCUCCAUUCUUUCCUGCAGAUGGGACAACUGCCUGUAACUGGUGAGGGAGAGGUUGUCUUCACCUCUGCAGGAAGCCAGCUCCCAAAUUUAAUGAAGGUUUCUCCUUCCAAUUGCUUCACCGAAUACCAGAGCAACACUUGCUCUUGUAACAAAAUGUCACUUGCUUUUCAAGUACAAACUAAAUGAGCUUUCCUGAGAAAAUAAUUGCCAGCUAUUAAAAAGCUACUGUUGGAGCUUGAGAGGACUAUUAAAAUACAAAGAGAAAUGUACCACAUUCUUCCUGAAUUGAUACUUCAAACAAAACCUAUUUUUGUUUUGAAAUGUGGCACUAGAACAAUGAAUGACCAGUUGCUUUUGUAAAGUUUCAGACUGAGAGCCAUGCAAUCAUUCUCUAAGAGCAGAAUUUCUGUGUUGUUCAUGAAAAUAGUGGGGGGAAAAAAGCCACAGGUCAGUCAGUCUCUGCCUUAGUCAGCAGAGGAGUCUCAAUCCAUCUCUCAUCAAGUCUCUCAUCACGCUGGGGAAUGUCCCGCUCAGCACCACAGUGGACACAUCUGCUUCUGCAGGGAGUCAUCCCCAUUGUCCUCAUUACAGGCUCAAAUCUUAUACCAAACAGCAACUUACGGUUGCUGUUUUCUUAAAAGCAGACUUUAAACAAGUAUUUUCUCCAUAAGAGUCAAUUCCUCCUCUUGCCAUUUUGAGUGCUACUUGAGAUGGAGCACUUUGAAGGAUCAGCUUUGCAUAUCCACAUGUACAGCCAGAAUUGCAUCAGUAACAGACCAGAACUGCCUCAUCUCCCUUACCCCUAGACUGUCCAAAUGCCUCAGGCCCAUAACCGUGAGAAUUCCCUGGAAAGGACAAGGUUGUGGUAGAUUUUCUCGAGCCAUAUUGUGCUAAACUUACACUGCUGUACUCUCCUUUAGUUGCCUUUAAGCAUCUGUUCUUUUCUGUCAUCGCUUUGUCUUGAUAAAGGUCUGGAUGUGACACUUCCAGUGUCCUCCCAUCUCCCAGGAACAUGAGGUCUUAGAGCAGUUUCAUCUUUGCCAUGAAACCUUGGCAGCACAUGUUGGCAUGAAAAACUACACCAUUCACUGACACUACUUACCCCUCGGCCUGAAUUACAACCAGCUACUGUGAAAUGCUGCCCUAAUUACAGCCUAGAAUAGCUGGGCCACUGUUCAUUAAGUCAAAUUAGUGAAUCUCUCUCUCAUCAAUCUCUCUUGGUUGUUAUUCUGAUGACCAGGUCAGCAUUGAGACUGCUAAUGAAAAACAGAACCUGGGAGAUGGCCUCACCAAGGACACAGCUGCUCCCCCACAAGUCACAACCUCAAACACACUGGAGAUGGAGACAAGCAAAGCAAACACCACUGGCAGCACAAAAUGUCAGAAAGCAGAAACAAAAGACUUCACAAAACAAAUGGUGAGAGGGAGAUGCAGCAGCCAUCUACUUACUGUGAAGUGUCAAAGGGGUAGUUCUGUCUAAAGAGAGGACAUCCUUCAAGCUCCUGUGGAAAAGCCACUCUGGGAGCUCAACCCUGGCACUGGAAGGGCAGUGCCAGCCAAGGCAGCCCUGCUGGCACCAGCUGCAGCAGGGUGGCACAAACAGCAGCUGCAUCCAAACAAGGUGGUGGCAAUUCCCAGUGUAGGUCAUAUCCAUGCCUUGGCCUGGCAAGCCUGCCUGAGAACUGAGCAGAGUCCCACAGCAACAUCAUUUCUCAUCCACGUGCUAAUCACCAAAAAAUGCCAAACUCCAACUUAACCAGUUUUGUUGAUGAAUCCAGUAUAUAUUUUUUAAGUCUCAGAAAACACAACAUACAUGAGAAAAUUCUAUUCUAUACCCCUUAAAUUAUACUUCCUCAAACUGGAAAACAGGAUGAAGAGGAUCUGGUCUCCAGACCAGUGAUCCAGAGCUAGAAAGCACUAUAAUUAGAACCAGGACUGAGACUGAAGACCCCAGGUUGUUAGCAAAACUAAUUAGCUAAUGUCAUUAGAAAGCAACAGAGAAUAAGCAAGAGCCGACUCAGACUCUACAGUAAUCUACGCAAAGGACAGUUUAAUAACUGUACUUACGAUAUGUUUUAAAAGAAAAUCACUUUAUGGAGUAGAUUUCAUCCUGGGCAAUAUCCAUACAUCUUGGACUUGGCAAAAUGGCUUGGAGAAGAGGGUUUCAUCAUAGUAAACACAGCUACUUCACAGCAAGAUUUAUUAAUACAUCCAAAAGAAAGAAAGAAAAUCAUUUUGUCACACUAUAUACAGAUAAUACAUACAGUGUUUUAUACACAUAUUACAUCAGUUUUUACACAAGAAAAAUAUACAUAAAAAUGUAAACUUUUGUAUACAAAAACCCUUAAACAAAUUAAACAAGGACCAGAUAACAAAAGGAGACCAAUCUAUUAUCAUUUAAUUGAUUUUUUUUUUAAAUGGUAAUACAGUACAUUCAUUGAGAAGUAUGAGGAACAUGUGAGCAACCUUUCCUAUUUAAAGGGAAAGUACAAACACAAGCUUUCCUCCCCGCCCCUGGAAUGCUGUCCGUGAGCCUCCAGCACUAGAGGUGGUGCGAGUUGCCAUUGCUGCCAGGGACCCUGAAGGAAGGAACCCUUCUUCUGGGGCACCUCCAUGCACCACUGUCCCCCAAAGCGACACAUCCCCAGAAGCAAGCUGGGCUGGGCUGUUUGUGCGUAUUAGCCAGGCUUCCAGCUAAUACCACGAGACGGGACGCGGCAGUGCCCGUUUGUAUGUUCCCUUUAAGCAGUCAUUAAGUGGAUUAGCCUUGCUGGAGGAAGUUGCUUAUUUUUCCCAAUGUAUGGUAUGCUGAACACAUGUGUCAGAUAUGAGAGGGAAGAAGGAAGGGGUGUAAGAGACUGCUAAUCCUUGCUACCAUGCAGUUACUUCAAAAUCAGGUACAUUUGCAAGCUACAAUUCACUGGUUCAAAAUACACUGCCUCACCUUUGCUUUCCCACUGCAACUUGUUUACAUGUUAAACUCUAGUGACCGAACAACUGUAUGAGGCUCUUUGUUACAAGGCUGUUUCUGAUAUCAAAGCAUGAUCAAGCUACCUUUAAAAUGACACCAAACACAAACUUCUCGGAGACAGCCUUAAAAAGAGAGAGCAUUCCCUCUAAGCACUUCAGAUUGUCCAUUUGCCACCUUCUUUUAUUAAGUCUAGGAUAAAUAUAUUUACCCUGAACUGCAAAAAGGAUAUUGGUUAAGCUUCUGACAUCUGUUUUGCUCCACUUGCAGAUAAAUAUUUUGGGAAUUGAAGGGAAAAAAUCCCAAAAAACAAACCCAAAUUUUAAAACCUCAGGCAUAAAAGUAAGAAGGGAAUUAUUUAACAUGUUGGUGAAAAAACAGUUGCAGAAACUUGAACUUGUUGGAAACAAACAGACGAUAGAUUCCAAUGAAGGCUUCUCACAUUAAAUAAGUUAGACGGGUUACAGACAUCUUCAAUAAAAACAUCCAUCCUCCACAAAGUAUGUUAAAAUGAAACACAAUAGUGAUGCACUGGUAUUUCUCCUAAAAAGGACAGAAGGACAUGAAAUCUCCUUAGUGAUAUCAGUACUAUUGAAUGUAGGAGGUGAACAAUGAUUUACGAAAGUAAUGAGGGGAAAAGAAAAUCAUGAAUCAUUUAUUAUAAUUGGACAAAAGGGGGAUGGGGCAGAAUGUAAUUACUGUAUGCCUCAGAAACACCUGAAGGAAAUAAAUACUUAGAAACUUGUGUUUCCAUUUCUUUCACCUAAACGAGGGUGGGAAUAAGGGCUUGUCUGCUUGCUUUUGUUUUUUUUUUGUUUCCUUUCUUUUUUUCUUUUCCUUUUUAAAACAACAACCCUUCUAGUAAAAAUUCAAAAGACAAUUACAAAUGGCUUUAGAUAAUUAAAAGUCUCCUUUUCAAAAUAAAACUUUGAUAACACAUUUCUCCAUUUCUUCUAUAUAAUGCAGCUUCAGUGAAAACAAGUAAUAAGGGACAGCAAUUUGCAAAAAAAAAAACUGUGGGAAAAAAUUGCCAACCAAGUUUCGUAACAUAUA
Molecule: long non-coding RNA, 12071 nt
Organism: Passer domesticus (house sparrow)
Lineage: Eukaryota; Metazoa; Chordata; Aves; Passeriformes; Passeridae
Exons: 5
Source: RefSeq, a predicted model, not a curated record